Thaumarchaeota archaeon CSP1-1 is the source of this 314-nucleotide non-coding RNA. NCBI's taxonomy places the organism in Archaea, Thermoproteati, Nitrososphaerota. The record is from Rfam.
GUAGUAGGUAGGAUCAGGGUGCUAGCCGUGCCCUAUUCUGAAACCGGCUAUAUGCAGAGAUCAGUAACUGCUGGAUAAAUCUCUAGAUAGAUAGUUCCCGCUUGGUGUAUGGAAAUGAACUCACGCCGAGGCGGGUGGAUGUAGGACUGGGAUUAUCCGAAGGGAUAAUUCCUAAGACCGAACCGUUGAAAGGGAUGAGGUCCGGGAGGGAGCAAUCCUAAGAUGGAACACUCACGCUUCCUCGUCAACGUGGCGGAUCUUGUAUGCCUUGAAAUGGGGCUACCCAUCUAGACUGGAACCAGCAGGGCUACUAC